Molecule: small RNA, 127 nt
Filed under: Marmota monax (woodchuck)
Lineage: Eukaryota; Metazoa; Chordata; Mammalia; Rodentia; Sciuridae
Source: RNAcentral
GCCGGGUGUGGUGGCCCAUGUCUGUCAUCCCAGCAGCUUGGGAGGCUGAGGCAGGAGGAUCGCAAGUUCAAGGCCAGCCUCAGCAAUUUAGCAAGGCUGUAAGGAACUCAGCGAGACCCUGUCUCCA